CUUUCUCUAGUGUUCAACGGCUAGCACACUACGUUUGGGACGUAGUAGAGACAGUUCGAAUCUGUCGGGGAAGACCA
RNAcentral lists this transfer RNA (77 nucleotides) under compost metagenome. Its description in RNAcentral is "tRNA-Pro". The record is from RNAcentral.